AUGUCAACCGGCAACCGUAUCUGGAAACAACGAUUAGUGGAUAUUGGUACUGUCACUGCACAGCAAGCAAAGGAUUGGGGAUUCAGUGGUGUAAUGUUAAGAGGUCUGAAUUGGUGGGCCUACCCAUCCCGACCUGGGGUAUGCUGGGAUUCGCGAAGAGCAGCACCUUACGAUGUUCAUGACCAAUCGGGUCUUGACGUACCAGUAGGUACCAGAGGAGAUCGCUAUGAUCGUUACUGUAUCCAUAUUGAAGAGAUGCGACAAAGUGUUCGGAUCAUUGUGCAAUGUCCUAAUCAAAUGCCUAGUGGCAUGAUCAAAGUCAAUGAUCGUAAGCUAUGUCCUCCAUCACGAUCUCGAAUGAAACUAUCCAUGGAAUCCAUCCCGAGGUUGGCGCAUCUCGUUGGGCGUGGAGAAGCAUUGGGAACCCCAAUAUCUUUCUUCGGAGCAGUUUCUUUUCCCGUCCCCUCGCCCUGUCAUAGCGCUUCGCUUCCGGUUCUUUAG
RNAcentral lists this ribosomal RNA (501 nucleotides) under Triticum aestivum (bread wheat). Its description in RNAcentral is "partial small subunit ribosomal RNA". The record is from RNAcentral. Lineage: Eukaryota; Viridiplantae; Streptophyta; Magnoliopsida; Poales; Poaceae.